UGAUCAUGGCUCAGGACGAACGCUGGCGGCGCGCCUAACACAUGCAAGUCGAACGAGCGAGAGAGAGCUUGCUUUCUCGAGCGAGUGGCGAACGGGUGAGUAACGCGUGAGGAACCUGCCUCAAAGAGGGGGACAACAGUUGGAAACGACUGCUAAUACCGCAUAAGCCCACGGCUCGGCAUCGAGCAGAGGGAAAAGGAGUAAUCCGCUUUGAGAUGGCCUCGCGUCCGAUUAGCUAGUUGGUGAGGUAACGGCCCACCAAGGCGACGAUCGGUAGCCGGACUGAGAGGUUGAACGGCCACAUUGGGACUGAGACACGGCCCAGACUCCUACGGGAGGCAGCAGUGGGGAAUAUUGCACAAUGGGGGAAACCCUGAUGCAGCGACGCCGCGUGGAGGAAGAAGGUCUUCGGAUUGUAAACUCCUGUUGUUGGGGAAGAUAAUGACGGUACCCAACAAGGAAGUGACGGCUAACUACGUGCCAGCAGCCGCGGUAAAACGUAGGUCACAAGCGUUGUCCGGAAUUACUGGGUGUAAAGGGAGCGCAGGCGGGAAGACAAGUUGGAAGUGAAAUCUAUGGGCUCAACCCAUAAACUGCUUUCAAAACUGUUUUUCUUGAGUAGUGCAGAGGUAGGCGGAAUUCCCGGUGUAGCGGUGGAAUGCGUAGAUAUCGGGAGGAACACCAGUGGCGAAGGCGGCCUACUGGGCACCAACUGACGCUGAGGCUCGAAAGUGUGGGUAGCAAACAGGAUUAGAUACCCUGGUAGUCCACACCGUAAACGAUGAUUACUAGGUGUUGGAGGAUUGACCCCUUCAGUGCCGCAGUUAACACAAUAAGUAAUCCACCUGGGGAGUACGACCGCAAGGUUGAAACUCAAAGGAAUUGACGGGGGCCCGCACAAGCAGUGGAGUAUGUGGUUUAAUUCGACGCAACGCGAAGAACCUUACCAAGUCUUGACAUCCCUUGACGAUGCUGGAAACAGUAUUUCUCUUCGGAGCAAGGAGACAGGUGGUGCAUGGUUGUCGUCAGCUCGUGUCGUGAGAUGUUGGGUUAAGUCCCGCAACGAGCGCAACCCUUAUGGUCAGUUACUACGCAAGAGGACUCUGGCCAGACUGCCGUUGACAAAACGGAGGAAGGUGGGGAUGACGUCAAAUCAUCAUGCCCUUUAUGACUUGGGCUACACACGUACUACAAUGGCGUUAAACAAAGAGAAGCAAGACCGCGAGGUGGAGCAAAACUCAGAAACAACGUCCCAGUUCGGACUGCAGGCUGCAACUCGCCUGCACGAAGUCGGAAUUGCUAGUAAUCGUGGAUCAGCAUGCCACGGUGAAUACGUUCCCGGGCCUUGUACACACCGCCCGUCACACCAUGAGAGCCGGGGGGACCCGAAGUCGGUAGUCUAACC
This 1405-nucleotide ribosomal RNA is filed under the name Faecalibacterium prausnitzii. RNAcentral's name for it is "16S ribosomal RNA". It matches the Rfam family "Bacterial small subunit ribosomal RNA". The record is from RNAcentral. Lineage: Bacteria; Bacillati; Bacillota; Clostridia; Eubacteriales; Oscillospiraceae.